GGCUCUGUAGUUCAACGGAUAGAACGAGUGUUUCCUAAACAUUAAAUAGGGGUUCGAUUCCCCUCGGAGCUA
This 72-nucleotide transfer RNA is filed under the name Tannerellaceae bacterium. RNAcentral describes it as "tRNA-Arg". It matches the Rfam family "tRNA". From Rfam's summary of the family: Transfer RNA (tRNA) molecules are approximately 80 nucleotides in length. The record is from RNAcentral. Lineage: Bacteria; Pseudomonadati; Bacteroidota; Bacteroidia; Bacteroidales; Tannerellaceae.